RNAcentral lists this ribosomal RNA (377 nucleotides) under uncultured bacterium. Its description in RNAcentral is "bacterial SSU rRNA". It matches the Rfam family "Bacterial small subunit ribosomal RNA", at positions 523 to 898 of the family's 1533-position model. The record is from RNAcentral.
AUACGUAGGGGGCGAGCGUUGUCCGGAAUUACUGGGUGUAAAGGGCGUGUAGGCGGGUUACCAAGUUAUGGGUAAAAACCCAGGGCUCAACCCUGGGCUUGCCGAUAAAACUGGUAAUCUUGAGUGCAGGAGAGGGAAGUGGAAUUCCCGGAGUAGCGGUGAAAUGCGUAGAUACCGGGAGGAACACCAGUGGCGAAGGCGGCUUCCUGGCCUGUAACUGACGCUGAGGCGCGAAAGCUAGGGUAGCGAACGGGAUUAGAUACCCCGGUAGUCCUAGCCGUAAACGAUGGUCACUAGGUGUGGGUGGUGGUCAAGCCAUCCGUGCCGGAGCUAACGCAAUAAGUGACCCACCUGGGGAGUACGGCCGCAAGGCUAAA